AGAGCAGAUCCGGGCACCAGGGGAUGGGAAGGGUGGACAUGACUCCGAGAGCAACAGUGCAACACCCAUGCAAUGAGUCUGCGAGGCCGAAUGGAGGCCAGCUGGCUGCAGGGGAGAAAGCAAGAGAGUCUGGCACAAGGUGCACCUGGAGAAGGAAGUAGAGGCCAGGCCAGGGUGGAGGGAACUGGGAGGACCUGUCUGACCACUAACAACCCACCCAAGGAGGCCCUGCUGCUCCCAGAGGAUGCUCCUACCGGAGUUCUCCUAGUUUCUUGCAAGGAGCCCUGGAAAAACAAUCCCACCCUGGGUCUACCAUAGUCUCUGGGACUUUUAAACCAAUGCCCAGCUAGAAAAAAAAAACCUCAGGCAGUUUGAGGAUAGAAGAGGAAAUAAUAUUAAGAGCCUGCCGUAUGUUGAAUGUUUACUAUGUCUCAGUAGAAUAUAAAUGCUUUAGGUUCUUACAGAAGCCCUCCAAGGAAACUACAGAGGCCCUUUGGUACUCCCCAGCUCUCCUUGUUUUCCUGUUUCUAAGCAUCUGAGUGCAUCCUGAUAGCUGUGGACAGCAGAGAGUUGGAACAGGAGAUUGAAGACGUCUCAUCUACUCCCAUGCUUGGCACAUAGUAGGCACUCAACACAUGCUAGACUCUCCCCACCUCCUGUUGCUUCUUGGCACCAGGCUUCACUCUGGACAAGAGUUAACAUCUCAUCCUUUACCCAUGUCUUCUUUGACUGAACAUCUGGCUAUUAGUGGGAGAUGGGUCAAAGAAGUAUUCACUCAUCCUUUCAUCCAGCAAUACUGACAGAGCACCUGCCCUGUGCCAGGCUCAGCCAGAGGCUGGAGAUAAAGACAUGAAUGAGACCCCUGGUGAGGGGUGAGAGACAAAGCAAAGGGCUCAUUUCCACAGAGGAUGAUGGGGAUUCACACCUGGGUUGGGCAAGGCACACAAUGGAGCAGGGUGACAUGGUUGGCUUUGAGUCCCCACCCAAAUCUCAUCUUGAAUUGUAGUUCCCAUAAUCCCCAUGUGUCAUAGGAGGGACCUGGUGGGAGGUAAUUGAAUCAUGGAAAUGGUUUCCACCAUGCUGUUCUUGCGAUAGUGAGUGUGUUCUCAUGAGAUCUGAUGGUUUUAUAAGGUGUUUUUCCCCUCUUCACAUUGUAUUUCUCUCUCCUGCCACCAUGGGAAGAAGGCCAUGUUUGCUUUCCCUUCUGCCAUGACUGUAAGUUUCCUGAGGCCUCCCUAGCCAUGUGAAACUGUAAGUCAAUAAAUCUCUUUUUUAAAUGAAUUACCCAUUCUUGGGUAUGUUCUUAUAGCAGCAUGAGAACAAACUAAUACACAGGGUGACAUGAGAAGGCUUCCUGGGAGACAAUGCCUGAGGUGAUCUCUGAUGAGAAAGUAAGAGGAGGACAUUCCAGGUACAGGGAACAACAUGUGCAAGCACACAAGGCUGAAGUAAACAAACAGGAAGCUGUGAAAAAGGACAGUGAUGAAUGACUAGCCCAACAGGGUAAUUUUGACCCCCGGGGGACAUUUGGCAACAACUGGAGACUUUUUGUUUGCUUUUCACAAUUGUGUGUGUGUGCAUGUAUGCAUGUGUGUGUGCGAGUGUCUGCUACUGGCAUCUAAUAGGUAGAGGUUAGGGAUGCUGCUAAAUAUCCUACGGUGCACAAGAUAGCCCCCCACAACAAAGAAUUAUAUCUGGCCCAAGAUGUUGAGAAACCCUGGACUAGAACAACAAACAUAAAAACAUAUUAUAGUACUUUGACAAUUAAAACUUCAUAGUACUAGCACAUGAAUAGAUAGAGAGACCAAUGGAACAGUUUAAGAAUAUAAAUAUAUACAGGAAUUUAGCAUAUGAUAAAGGGAGCAUUCCAAAUCCAGUGAGAAUUCAGUAAGUGUUGUUGAGACUCCUGGGUAGCCAUCUUGAAAAACAUUAAGCUGGAGCUAUACCUCACACCAUAUAUCAGAAUAAAUUCCACAUGGAUUAAACAUUUAAAGGUAAACAAUAAAACCACACAAGUACCAAGAGAAAAUGUGGGAGAAAUCUUUUAUAAUCUUAGAGUGGGAAAGUCUUUCCUAAUCCUGACUCACAAACCAGGAACUAUAAAAUAGGAAAUUGAUUAAGUCCACUAAUAAAAGUUGAAAAAAACUUUUUAAGCUCUUGCGUGUGAAACAAACAAAAAUCAAACCUGUAUAUAAGCAAAGUCGAAAACAAAUGCAAAUCUGUAAAGGACACACACAACUCAGCAGACAAAGGGCUAAUUUCUUUAAAUUAUAAAGAUGCAUAAACCUCUAAAGAAAAGACCAAUAAAAAUAUGAGCAAAGCAUGUGAAAAAGUGGCUUAUAGAACAACAAUGAAAAUAAAUACAAAUCGCUGUUAAACAUAUGAAAAGAUGUUCAACCUCUGCAUGAUAAGAAAAAUGCAAAUUAAAAGUACUGACAUGCCUUGUUUUUCUUUUUUCAUCUCUCACAUUUGAAAAAACCCAAAUUUGAAAACGCGCAGACAUUUCCAUAUAUUGUUGGUGGGUAUGUCAACCAGUACAGCCCCUAGGAGGGCGAUUUAGCAAUAUUUACCAAAAUAGCAAAUGCAUAUAUCAUCUAACCCAGCAAUCUCACUUCUUAGAGCUUACUCCACAGAUACAUAUAUUUGCAUGCAUAUGAAGUGCCAUAUAUACAAGAUUAUAAAUUGCAGCAAACGAUCAGAAACAAUUUAAAUGCUCAUUAAUAAGGAACUGGUUAAAUAAAUUAGAGGUUGGCAAACUACCAUCAGGGCCCAAAUCUGGCCUUCUUCCUGUUACUGGAGGACUUUCAAGGGAAAAAUAGUUUUAACAUGUUUAAAUGGUUGGAAAAAAUCAAAAGAGAAUUAUAUUUUGUGACACAUGAACACUAUAUAAAAUUCUAAAAUCAGAGUCCAUAAAUAAAGUUUUAUCGGAACACA
Long non-coding RNA from Symphalangus syndactylus (siamang), 2934 nucleotides. RefSeq lists it as uncharacterized. The record is from RefSeq and is a predicted model, not a curated record. Lineage: Eukaryota; Metazoa; Chordata; Mammalia; Primates; Hylobatidae.